RNAcentral lists this ribosomal RNA (253 nucleotides) under uncultured bacterium. Its description in RNAcentral is "partial 16S ribosomal RNA". It matches the Rfam family "Bacterial small subunit ribosomal RNA", at positions 524 to 776 of the family's 1533-position model. The record is from RNAcentral.
UACAGAGGUCCCAAGCGUUGUUCGGAAUCACUGGGCGUAAAGGGUGCGUAGGCGGGUUUUUAAGUCAGGGGUGAAAUCCUGGAGCUCAACUCCAGAACUGCCUUUGAUACUGAAGAUCUUGAGUCCGGGAGAGGUGAGUGGAACUGCGAGUGUAGAGGUGAAAUUCGUAGAUAUUCGCAAGAACACCAGUGGCGAAGGCGGCUCACUGGCCCGAUACUGACGCUGAGGUGCGAAAGCGUGGGGAGCAAACAGG